This is a non-coding RNA of Triticum aestivum (bread wheat), 105 nucleotides long. The record is from Rfam. NCBI's taxonomy places the organism in Eukaryota, Viridiplantae, Streptophyta, Magnoliopsida, Poales, Poaceae.
UAUAUACUCCCUCCGUUCCAAAAUAGAUGACUCAACUUUGUACUAACUUUAGUAUAAUAUUAGUACAAAGUUGAGUCAUCUAUUUUGGAACGGAGGGAGUAAUAG